UAUGUUGUGGACUAAUGGGUAAGUCAUAAAUUUUUGGUAUUUACUAUUGAGUGUUCGAAUCACUCCGACAUAA
RNAcentral lists this transfer RNA (73 nucleotides) under Cephalotrichum gorgonifer. Its description in RNAcentral is "transfer RNA-Gln(TTG)". It matches the Rfam family "tRNA". From Rfam's summary of the family: Transfer RNA (tRNA) molecules are approximately 80 nucleotides in length. Their secondary structure includes four short double-helical elements and three loops (D, anti-codon, and T loops). The record is from RNAcentral. Lineage: Eukaryota; Fungi; Ascomycota; Sordariomycetes; Microascales; Microascaceae.